AACACAUGCAAGUCGAGGGGAAACGACAUCGAAAGCUUGCUUUUGAUGGGCGUCGACCGGCGCACGGGUGAGUAACGCGUAUCCAACCUGCCCACCACUUGGGGAUAACCUUGCGAAAGUAAGACUAAUACCCAAUGAUAUCUCUAGAAGACAUCUGAAAGAGAUUAAAGAUUUAUCGGUGAUGGAUGGGGAUGCGUCUGAUUAGCUUGUUGGCGGGGUAACGGCCCACCAAGGCAACGAUCAGUAGGGGUUCUGAGAGGAAGGUCCCCCACAUUGGAACUGAGACACGGUCCAAACUCCUACGGGAGGCAUCAGUGAGGAAUAUUGGUCAAUGGACGAGAGUCUGAACCAGCCAAGUAGCGUGCAGGAUGACGGCCCUAUGGGUUGUAAACUGCUUUUAUAAGGGAAUAAAGUGAGUCUCGUGAGACUUUUUGCAUGUACCUUAUGAAUAAGGACCGGCUAAUUCCGUGCCAGCAGCCGCGGUAAUACGGAAGGUCCGGGCGUUAUCCGGAUUUAUUGGGUUUAAAGGGAGCGUAGGCCGGAGAUUAAGCGUGUUGUGAAAUGUAGAUGCUCAACAUCUGCACUGCAGCGCGAACUGGUUUCCUUGAGUACGCACAAAGUGGGCGGAAUUCGUGGUGUAGCGGUGAAAUGCUUAGAUAUCACGAAGAACUCCGAUUGCGAAGGCAGCUCACUGGAGCGCAACUGACGCUGAAGCUCGAAAGUGCGGGUAUCGAACAGGAUUAGAUACCCUGGUAGUCCGCA
Molecule: ribosomal RNA, 762 nt
Filed under: uncultured bacterium
Lineage: Bacteria
Description: bacterial SSU rRNA
Rfam family: Bacterial small subunit ribosomal RNA
Source: RNAcentral